AAGUCGUAACAAGGUUUCCGUAGGUGAACCUGCGGAAGGAUCAUUAACGAAUAUCUAUGGCGUUGGUUGUAGCUGGCUCCUAGGAGCAUUGUGCACGCCCGUCAUUCAUAUCAUCUUUCCACCUGUGAACCAUGUGUAGGCCUGGAUACCCCUCGCUUUGGCAACAAAGCGGAUGCAAGGAUUGCUGCGUCGACAAGGCCGGCUCUCUUUGAAUUUCCAGGUUCUAUGUCUUUUUACACACCCCAUUCGAAUGAUUUAGAAUGUAGUCAAUGGGCUUUCAUGCCUAUAAAAAAACUAUACAACUUUCAGCAACGGAUCUCUUGGCUCUC
RNAcentral lists this unclassified non-coding RNA (329 nucleotides) under Candolleomyces candolleanus. Its description in RNAcentral is "Psathyrella candolleana partial internal transcribed spacer region". The stretch from base 1 to 46 matches the Rfam family "Eukaryotic small subunit ribosomal RNA", at positions 1786 to 1831 of the family's 1831-position model. Lineage: Eukaryota; Fungi; Basidiomycota; Agaricomycetes; Agaricales; Psathyrellaceae. The record is from RNAcentral.